Long non-coding RNA from Alexandromys fortis (reed vole), 994 nucleotides. RefSeq lists it as uncharacterized. NCBI's taxonomy places the organism in Eukaryota, Metazoa, Chordata, Mammalia, Rodentia, Cricetidae. The record is from RefSeq and is a predicted model, not a curated record. The transcript has 2 exons.
AUAGAUUCUAGCCUGUGCCUUGGCAGCUUCCAUCCUCCGAAGGCAUCUCAUGGUCUGGAAGGUGUUUGCCCCAAAGUUCAUUUUUGAAGCCACUGGUUUCAUUGUGAGCAGUGUGGGACUUCUCCUGGGCAUAGCUUUGGUGAUGCGAGUGGAUGGCGCCAUGAGCUCCUGGUUCAGACGAUUAGUUCUGGUUCAGCAGAGGUAGCCCAGGCCUUGCGUGUUGGCAGCUGGCCAUGGAGAGGGCUGAAGAAUCAUCUGGCCUGACCUGCACUGGUGCUGGAUAUUCUGCAGGAGAGACUCAGACACACCUCCUAACCAUCAUGUAACCAGAGACUGCUUACCCUGGGACUUCAUUCUAUAAUUCAGAAUCACUGUGGAGCCUGAGCCCUCGCUCCUUGUUUGGAUGCACCUGAUGGACGAUUCCCCCAAGUGGAAUCAAAUAGCAGUGUAAAUGUGUGUAUCUAAGAUGUGGAAGAGCUCGCCAAGUCAGCCUCCUCCCACCAAGCACGAUUAGUUAUGUCAUCUUAGGUGGGGUUUGCUGUACCCGAGAACUCUUUGUGAGAAACUGUCUGGGUUCUUCCCAAAUGUUCUAGUCAUCCCAUUUGUCCUGCGUCCUCCUUGUUUGUUUGGUUUUGGUCAUUCUGUGCUUUACCUGAUAGCAGAGAAGACAAGCCCAGCAUCGUGAAACACACAGACGUCUGUGUCUGAAGCCUUAAGCAGCACUGUUUCUUCCUCUGGUUCCUUUCCCUCCCACGGCCGUAGAAAGCCUCUCUCUAGUUUUUAGCCCAUGUCACCUUUAUCACAUCUACCUGCCUAUUGAUUAUUCCCAACUUAAAGCCAAAAUGAAAUGAAUGUAAUGCAUCUUUUUAAAACAAUCUCACUAUGUAUCUGCAGCUUGUAACUCAAUGUGGAGUAGGCUAGCCUUGAAGUCAGAGAGAUCCACCUGCCUCUGCCUGCCAGAAUAAAGGCGUGUGUCAGCACGCCUGCCUAAUGA